Molecule: ribosomal RNA, 256 nt
Filed under: uncultured bacterium
Lineage: Bacteria
Description: partial 16S ribosomal RNA
Rfam family: Bacterial small subunit ribosomal RNA
Source: RNAcentral
GACGUAGGUGGCGAACGUUAUCCGGAAUUAUUGGGCGUAAAGGGUGCGUAGAUGGUAUGAUAAGUUAUUAGUGGGAAAUCGGGGCUCAACCUCGUGGAAGCUAGUAAUACUGUUUUGCUUGAGUGCAGAAGAGGUUAACGGAACUCCAUGUGGAGCGGUAAAAUGCGUAGAUAUAUGGAAGAACAUCAAUAACGGCGAAGGCAGUUAACUAUUCUGUUACUGACAUUGAGGCACGAAAGCGUGGGGAGCAAAACGG